RNAcentral lists this ribosomal RNA (654 nucleotides) under uncultured bacterium. RNAcentral's name for it is "bacterial SSU rRNA". It matches the Rfam family "Bacterial small subunit ribosomal RNA", at positions 1 to 654 of the family's 1533-position model. The record is from RNAcentral.
AUUAGAGUUUGAUCAUGGCUCAGAUUGAACGCUGGCGGCAUGCCUAACACAUGCAAGUCGAACGGCAGCACGGGGGCAACCCUGGUGGCGAGUGGCGGACGGGUGAGGAAUACAUCGGAAUCUACCUUCUGGUGGGGGAUAACCAGCCGAAAGGCUGGCUAAUACCGCAUAAGACCGAGAGGUGAAAGCGGGGGACCGAAAGGCCUCGCGCGAGAAGAUGAGCCGAUGUCCGAUUAGCUAGUUGGCGGGGUAAGAGCCCACCAAGGCGACGAUCGGUAGCUGGUCUGAGAGGAUGAUCAGCCACACUGGGACUGAGACACGGCCCAGACUCCUACGGGAGGCAGCAGUGGGGAAUAUUGGACAAUGGGCGCAAGCCUGAUCCAGCAAUGCCGCGUGUGUGAAGAAGGCCUUCGGGUUGUAAAGCACUUUUAUCGGGAGCGAAAAGCGGCCGGCUAAUACCCGGUCGUGCUGACGGUACCCGAGGAAUAAGCACCGGCUAACUUCGUGCCAGCAGCCGCGGUAAUACGAAGGGUGCAAGCGUUAAUCGGAAUUACUGGGCGUAAAGCGUGCGUAGACGGCCUUUUAAGUCUGCUGUGAAAGCCCUGGGCUCAACCUGGGAACUGCAGUGGAUACUGUGAGGCUGGAGUGCGGUAG